RNAcentral lists this ribosomal RNA (468 nucleotides) under uncultured bacterium. RNAcentral describes it as "partial 16S ribosomal RNA". It matches the Rfam family "Bacterial small subunit ribosomal RNA", at positions 28 to 507 of the family's 1533-position model. The record is from RNAcentral.
GACGAACGCUGGCGGCGUGCUUAACACAUGCAAGUCGAACGGAAAGGCCCUGCUUUUGUGGGGUGCUCGAGUGGCGAACGGGUGGGUAACACGUGAGUAACCUGCCCUUGACUUUGGGAUAACUUCAGGAAACUGGGGCUAAUACCGGAUAGGAGCUCCUGCUGCAUGGUGGGGGUUGGAAAGUUUCGGCGGUUGGGGAUGGACUCGCGGCUUAUCAGCUUGUUGGUGGGGUAGUGGCUUACCAAGGCUUUGACGGGUAGCCGGCCUGAGAGGGUGACCGGCGACAUUGGGACUGAGAUACGGCCCAGACGCCUACGGGAGGCAGCAGUGGGGAAUAUUGCACAAUGGGCGGAAGCCUGAUGCAGCAACGCCGCGUGCGGGAUGACGGCCUUCGGGUUGUAAACCGCUUUCGCCUGUGACGAAGCGUGAGUGACGGUAAUGGGUAAAGAAGCACCGGCUAACUACGUG